RNAcentral lists this ribosomal RNA (253 nucleotides) under uncultured bacterium. RNAcentral describes it as "partial 16S ribosomal RNA". It matches the Rfam family "Bacterial small subunit ribosomal RNA", at positions 524 to 776 of the family's 1533-position model. The record is from RNAcentral.
GACAGAGGUCUCGAGCGUUAGGCGGAAUCACUGGGCUUAAAGCGUGUGUAGGCGGAUGUCUAAGUACCUUGUGAAAUCCCACAGCUUAACUGUGGAAUUGCUUGGUAUACUGGAUGUCUUGAGCCAGCUAGGGGCAACCGGAACAAAUGGUGGAGCGGUGAAAUGCGUAGAUAUCAUUUGGAACGCCAAUGGUGAAAACAGGUUGCUGGGGCUGUGCUGACGCUGAGACACGAAAGCCAGGGGAGCGAACAGG